AUUGAACGCUGGCGGCAGGCCUAACACAUGCAAGUCGAACGGUAACAGGAAGAAGCUUGCUUCUUUGCUGACGAGUGGCGGACGGGUGAGUAAUGUCUGGGAAACUGCCUGAUGGAGGGGGAUAACUACUGGAAACGGUAGCUAAUACCGCAUAACGUCGCAAGACCAAAGAGGGGGACCUUCGGGCCUCUUGCCAUCGGAUAUGCCCAGAUGGGAUUAGCUAGUAGGUGGGGUAACGGCUCACCUAGGCGACGAUCCCUAGCUGGUCUGAGAGGAUGACCAGCCACACUGGAACUGAGACACGGUCCAGACUCCUACGGGAGGCAGCAGUGGGGAAUAUUGCACAAUGGGCGCAAGCCUGAUGCAGCCAUGCCGCGUGUAUGAAGAAGGCCUUCGGGUUGUAAAGUACUUUCAGCGGGGAGGAAGGGAGUAAAGUUAAUACCUUUGCUCAUUGACGUUACCCGCAGAAGAAGCACCGGCUAACUCCGUG
This 490-nucleotide ribosomal RNA is filed under the name uncultured bacterium. RNAcentral describes it as "partial 16S ribosomal RNA". It matches the Rfam family "Bacterial small subunit ribosomal RNA", at positions 30 to 507 of the family's 1533-position model. The record is from RNAcentral.